RNAcentral lists this ribosomal RNA (253 nucleotides) under uncultured bacterium. Its description in RNAcentral is "partial 16S ribosomal RNA". It matches the Rfam family "Bacterial small subunit ribosomal RNA", at positions 524 to 776 of the family's 1533-position model. The record is from RNAcentral.
GACAGAGGGUGCAAGCGUUGUUCGGAAUCAUUGGGCGUAAAGCGCGCGUAGGCGGCUAUGUAAGUCGAAUGUGAAAUCCCUGGGCUCAACCCGGGAAGUGCAUUCGAAACUGCAUAGCUUGAGCCCCGGAGAGGGUGGUGGAAUUCCCAGUGUAGAGGUGAAAUUCGUAGAUAUUGGGAGGAACACCAGAGGCGAAGGCGACCACCUGGACGGAGACUGACGCUGAGGCGCGAAAGCGUGGGGAGCAAACAGG